This 253-nucleotide ribosomal RNA is filed under the name uncultured bacterium. RNAcentral's name for it is "partial 16S ribosomal RNA". It matches the Rfam family "Bacterial small subunit ribosomal RNA", at positions 524 to 776 of the family's 1533-position model. The record is from RNAcentral.
UACGGAGGGGGCAAGCGUUAUUCGGAAUUAUUGGGCGUAAAGGGCGCGUAGGCGGCUAGAUGUGUCAAAGGUGAAAUCCCUCGGCUCAACUGAGGAACUGCCUUUGAAACUGUCUGGCUUGAGGCCGGGAGAGGGUAGCGGAAUUCCCAGUGUAGCGGUGAAAUGCGUAGAUAUUGGGAGGAACACCAGUGGCGAAGGCGGCUACCUGGACCGGAACUGACGCUGAUGCGCGAAAGCGUGGGUAGCAAACAGG